RNAcentral lists this ribosomal RNA (489 nucleotides) under uncultured bacterium. Its description in RNAcentral is "bacterial SSU rRNA". It matches the Rfam family "Bacterial small subunit ribosomal RNA", at positions 28 to 517 of the family's 1533-position model. The record is from RNAcentral.
GAUGAACGCUAGCGGCAGGCUUAACACAUGCAAGUCGAGGGGUAUAGUUCUUCGGAAUUAGAGACCGGCGCACGGGUGCGUAACGCGUAUGCAAUCUACCUUUCACAGAGGGAUAGCCCAGAGAAAUUUGGAUUAAUACCUCAUAGUAUAGCAGUUUCGCAUGAAACCACUAUUAAAGUCACAACGGUGAAAGAUGAGCAUGCGUCCCAUUAGCUAGUUGGUAAGGUAACGGCUUACCAAGGCAACGAUGGGUAGGGGUCCUGAGAGGGAGAUCCCCCCACACUGGUACUGAGACACGGACCAGACUCCUACGGGAGGCAGCAGUGAGGAAUAUUGGACAAUGGGCGCAAGCCUGAUCCAGCCAUGCCGCGUGCAGGAUGACGGUCCUAUGGAUUGUAAACUGCUUUUAUACAGGAAGAAACACUACUUCGUGAAGUAGCUUGACGGUACUGUAAGAAUAAGGAUCGGCUAACUCCGUGCCAGCAGCCG